RNAcentral lists this ribosomal RNA (318 nucleotides) under uncultured fungus. RNAcentral's name for it is "SSU rRNA". It matches the Rfam family "Eukaryotic small subunit ribosomal RNA", at positions 1344 to 1680 of the family's 1831-position model. Lineage: Eukaryota; Fungi. The record is from RNAcentral.
UAACCUUUAAAUAGGGGGGUCUGCUUUUUAGCAGGCUGCUCCUUCUUAGAGGGACUAUCGAUUUCAAGUCGAUGGAAGUUUGAGGCAAUAACAGGUCUGUGAUGCCCUUAGACGUUCUGGGCCGCACGCGCGCUACACUGACGGAGCCAGCGAGUUUUAUUGUUCCUUUGCCGAGAGGUAUGGGUAAUCUUGUGAAACUCCGUCGUGCUGGGGAUCGAAUGUUGCAAUUUUCAUUCGUCAACGAGGAAUUCCUAGUAAGCGCAAGUCAUCAGCUUGCGUUGAUUACGUCCCUGCCCUUUGUACACACCGCCCGUCGCU